GUUAAAAGUCAGACAUUCUAUAUGAGGUCCAUUAUAAGCUAUCUUUUUCCAACUGUACUGUAUAAAAAUUUAAAUCCUGAUCGAAUGUACUAAUUUUAUACUAUACCAGCUUAUUCUUUAUUCUGUAGCAUCUCGGACUUCUAUUCAAAGUGAACUUCAUCGGGAUAGGAGGCGGCCAGAGAUCACCAUUGUGGCAGCGGAGCCGCUGAGGCCAGCCUCGUGGUUUCCAGGAGGCCCACCCCCAGGCCUGGGAUUUCCCCCGACUCCUGCAGCUGGCCCUUGGAGGCCAAAUGAGCUGGUUCCUGCUGAGCUCCCACCCUCUUAUGAACAAGUCAUAAAAGAAAUCAACCAAGUUCAAGUUAAUACUACAAACAAUAAUAAUGCUGCUGCCCCUCCAAGGCACACUAUUACUUCUGCAACUCAGACGGACUUUUUAGAAGAAAUAGACAACCAUCUGCCUCAAAGUAAUGCCAAUAAUUUGUCUUCCCUAAUUCUGACCACUUCUAGGGAAGUAAUCAGUAGGCAGCCAGCCUUUAAAAUAAUUUGCAAUUUGUGCAUAAUUCAGUGAGCCCUGCUUUCCUUUCCAGUCAUUGGGAUCACUGUGGGCUUUCUUUUGGGGAUAUGCAGUGAUUAUUAUAACAGAUCAUUCUUAAGAGAUGCCCUCAUCUUUUGGGCUCACCCUCGUUCAGAUCACAGAAACUUCGUCUGUUUAACUUUCAUUGCAUAUUGCUGUGGAUGCCCUUUAUUCCCAUUGAGAAGGAUUUUUUAUUAAUAACUUGGACUUUAUAGAAUACUAAGGGUGAUUGUUAUGACUGUGGAUGCCCUUUAUUCCCAUUGAGAAGGAUUUUUUAUUAAUAACUUGGACUUUACAGAAUACUAAGGGUGAUUGUUAUGUUAGGCUUUUUAAGACUAUUUUAUUAGAGAC
This is a long non-coding RNA of Fukomys damarensis (Damara mole-rat), 925 nucleotides long. NCBI's taxonomy places the organism in Eukaryota, Metazoa, Chordata, Mammalia, Rodentia, Bathyergidae. The record is from Ensembl.